AGUGGAAUAGCUGGGUCAAAUGAUGGUUCCAUUCCCAGUUUUCUAGGGAAGCUCCAUACUGCUUUCCAGAUUGGUUGCACCAGUUUGCAGUCCCACCAGCAAU
This 103-nucleotide microRNA precursor is filed under the name Marmota monax (woodchuck). The record is from RNAcentral. Lineage: Eukaryota; Metazoa; Chordata; Mammalia; Rodentia; Sciuridae.